RNAcentral lists this ribosomal RNA (421 nucleotides) under uncultured bacterium. RNAcentral describes it as "bacterial SSU rRNA". It matches the Rfam family "Bacterial small subunit ribosomal RNA", at positions 355 to 774 of the family's 1533-position model. The record is from RNAcentral.
UAAGGAAUAUUGGUCAAUGGACGCAAGUCUGAACCAGCCAUGCCGCGUGAAGGAUGAAGGUCCUCUGGAUUGUAAACUCCUUUUAUCUGGGACGAAAACGGGAUUUUUAUCUCAAUUGACGGUACCAGAGGAAUAAGCACCGGCUAACUCCGUGCCAGCAGCCGCGGUAAUACGGAGGGUGCGAGCGUUAUCCGGAUUUACUGGGUUUAAAGGGUGCGUAGGUGGGCUUAUAAGUCAGUGGUGAAAUCUCCGAGCUUAACUUGGAAACUGCCGUUGAUACUAUAGGUCUUGAAUUAUCUGGAGGUAAGCGGAAUAUGUCAUGUAGCGGUGAAAUGCUUAGAUAUGACAUAGAACACCAAUUGCGAAGGCAGCUUACUACAUAUAAAUUGACGCUGAGGCACGAAAGCGUGGGGAUCAAACA